GCACAGCUGCCAGAGGGUCUGCGACCGGGUGGCAGAGCCCUGAGCUGUCCUGAAUUUGCCAUACAACACAUCCUAUUUCAGGUUAGCAGCUCUGCUCUCUAUGGCUGCUGCAGACUGCCAUUGCUGUGCACUCAGUGCUUUCCUUUUCCUUGUGGAUUUUAUUCCUUCCUUUAGCUCAGAGAGGGAAAUGGUACUGUCCCUAUAAUCAAGGAGCAGCUCACAUUACAGCGUUGCUGUUGAUCUGUCCGAGAGCCAGUCUUGGCAGCAAGCUUGCUCCCUCCUGCUGAUUGGAUGGGUCUGCAGAGUUUCUGCUGCUCCAGCCUGUGCAGUGCGACAGAGCCCUUAGUGUUUCAGAGCAUCACUUGGGCCCUUCUGACUGUUCAGGUCCAGGCAUCCACUCCUGUUCUCCCCUAGGUCUGGAGUUCAGCCCUGAUACUUAGGUGUGUUCUUGCCUCCCUUCUUCUGAGGUCUGGCUCUGCUUCUGUUACUGCUGGUAACCCAGAUGGAGUGUGAGGUGAGAUGCUGUGAGCAUCUAGUAAAGGCACUUAGAUUCUGAGCCACAGCAUCUUGCUCCACCUCCCCAGAUGCUGCCCUAAGGGGCCAAUGCCAAUCCUGCCUGGACCAGCAUUAGCUCUGCUGCGGCGACUUGAUAGCAGUCUGGAGAUGAAUGAAUUUCCAGCUAUGCCACCUCUGAGCUCCCACUGAAACCUUUGCUGGAGACAAAAAUGUCAGAUCUGCACUGUUUCUGUCCACAGGCUGGUGUGAGACAUACAGAGGAAAAAGUUGUGACUUCCUUAAAGCCCUGGGGAGUUUCCUUGGUUUCCAGAGUGAUGCCCAGAGAAUAUGUAUUUGAAAGCCUGGCGCUCUCUCUCCACAAGGAUGGCUUUCCCAGUUCCCAAUUACAACAGUAACAGACGCGUCCAGUUACGUAUACGAUAUAUCCCCGGGGAUAAGCACUCGAUAUAGAUCCACUUUGGGGUGUAUUUACUGAGAAAAACCUCACCCAUCGGCCCAGGAGUAUUUGCCCUAGCUUCUGAGCCAUCAGAAUUGGAGCAAGAUAUUUAUCAGCAAACUCAGCAUUAUCAUUUUUGGAUUUUAGGGUAUAAACUGAGUCACUGAGAACAGUUGUGAAGAUACAUGGUUACAACAAAAAAACAGAGUUUCCAUUGUGGCUCAGCAGAAAUGAAUUUGAUUAGUAACCAUGAGGAUGAAGGUUCGAUACCUGGCCUUGCUCAGUGGGUAAAGGAU
Sus scrofa (pig) is the source of this 1248-nucleotide non-coding RNA. Lineage: Eukaryota; Metazoa; Chordata; Mammalia; Artiodactyla; Suidae. The record is from RefSeq and is a predicted model, not a curated record.